This 2924-nucleotide ribosomal RNA is filed under the name Enterobacter roggenkampii. Its description in RNAcentral is "23S ribosomal RNA". It matches the Rfam family "Bacterial large subunit ribosomal RNA". The record is from RNAcentral. Lineage: Bacteria; Pseudomonadati; Pseudomonadota; Gammaproteobacteria; Enterobacterales; Enterobacteriaceae.
GGGUUGUGAGGUUAAGCGACUAAGCGUACACGGUGGAUGCCCUGGCAGUCAGAGGCGAUGAAGGACGUGCUAAUCUGCGAAAAGCGCCGGCGAGGUGAUAUGAACCUUUGACCCGGCGAUGUCCGAAUGGGGAAACCCAGUGUGUUCCGACACACUAUCGUUAACUGAAUACAUAGGUUAACGAGGCGAACCGGGGGAACUGAAACAUCUAAGUACCCCGAGGAAAAGAAAUCAACCGAGAUUCCCCCAGUAGCGGCGAGCGAACGGGGAGCAGCCCAGAGUCUGAAUCAGCUUGUGUGUUAGUGGAAGCGUCUGGAAAGUCGCACGGUACAGGGUGACAGUCCCGUACACGAAAGCACACAGGUUGUGAACUCGAAGAGUAGGGCGGGACACGUGGUAUCCUGUCUGAAUAUGGGGGGACCAUCCUCCAAGGCUAAAUACUCCUGACUGACCGAUAGUGAACCAGUACCGUGAGGGAAAGGCGAAAAGAACCCCGGCGAGGGGAGUGAAAAAGAACCUGAAACCGUGUACGUACAAGCAGUGGGAGCACCUUCGUGGUGUGACUGCGUACCUUUUGUAUAAUGGGUCAGCGACUUAUAUUCUGUAGCAAGGUUAACCGUAUAGGGGAGCCGAAGGGAAACCGAGUCUUAACUGGGCGUUAAGUUGCAGGGUAUAGACCCGAAACCCGGUGAUCUAGCCAUGGGCAGGUUGAAGGUUGGGUAACACUAACUGGAGGACCGAACCGACUAAUGUUGAAAAAUUAGCGGAUGACUUGUGGCUGGGGGUGAAAGGCCAAUCAAACCGGGAGAUAGCUGGUUCUCCCCGAAAGCUAUUUAGGUAGCGCCUCGUGAACUCAUCUUCGGGGUAGAGCACUGUUUCGGCUAGGGGGCCAUCCCGGCUUACCAACCCGAUGCAAACUACGAAUACCGAAGAAUGUUAUCACGGGAGACACACGGCGGGUGCUAACGUCCGUCGUGAAGAGGGAAACAACCCAGACCGCCAGCUAAGGUCCCAAAGUCAUGGUUAAGUGGGAAACGAUGUGGGAAGGCACAGACAGCCAGGAUGUUGGCUUAGAAGCAGCCAUCAUUUAAAGAAAGCGUAAUAGCUCACUGGUCGAGUCGGCCUGCGCGGAAGAUGUAACGGGGCUAAACCAUGCACCGAAGCUGCGGCAGCGACACUAUGUGUUGUUGGGUAGGGGAGCGUUCUGUAAGCCGUUGAAGGUGUGCUGUGAGGCAUGCUGGAGGUAUCAGAAGUGCGAAUGCUGACAUAAGUAACGAUAAAGCGGGUGAAAAGCCCGCUCGCCGGAAGACCAAGGGUUCCUGUCCAACGUUAAUCGGGGCAGGGUGAGUCGACCCCUAAGGCGAGGCCGAAAGGCGUAGUCGAUGGGAAACAGGUUAAUAUUCCUGUACUUGGUGUUACUGCGAAGGGGGGACGGAGAAGGCUAUGUUAGCCGGGCGACGGUUGUCCCGGUUUAAGCAUGUAGGCGGAGGUUCCAGGUAAAUCCGGUACCUUUUAACGCUGAGGUGUGAUGACGAGGCACUACGGUGCUGAAGUAACAAAUGCCCUGCUUCCAGGAAAAGCCUCUAAGCAUCAGGUAACAUCAAAUCGUACCCCAAACCGACACAGGUGGUCAGGUAGAGAAUACCAAGGCGCUUGAGAGAACUCGGGUGAAGGAACUAGGCAAAAUGGUGCCGUAACUUCGGGAGAAGGCACGCUGAUAUGUAGGUGAAGCCCCUGCGGGUGGAGCUGAAAUCAGUCGAAGAUACCAGCUGGCUGCAACUGUUUAUUAAAAACACAGCACUGUGCAAACACGAAAGUGGACGUAUACGGUGUGACGCCUGCCCGGUGCCGGAAGGUUAAUUGAUGGGGUUAGCGGUAACGCGAAGCUCUUGAUCGAAGCCCCGGUAAACGGCGGCCGUAACUAUAACGGUCCUAAGGUAGCGAAAUUCCUUGUCGGGUAAGUUCCGACCUGCACGAAUGGCGUAAUGAUGGCCAGGCUGUCUCCACCCGAGACUCAGUGAAAUUGAACUCGCUGUGAAGAUGCAGUGUACCCGCGGCAAGACGGAAAGACCCCGUGAACCUUUACUAUAGCUUGACACUGAACACUGGUCCUUGAUGUGUAGGAUAGGUGGGAGGCUUUGAAGCGUGGACGCCAGUCUGCGUGGAGCCGUCCUUGAAAUACCACCCUUUAAUGGCUGGUGUUCUAACGUAGACCCGUAAUCCGGGUUGCGGACAGUGUCUGGUGGGUAGUUUGACUGGGGCGGUCUCCUCCCAAAGAGUAACGGAGGAGCACGAAGGUUAGCUAAUCCUGGUCGGACAUCAGGAGGUUAGUGCAAUGGCAUAAGCUAGCUUGACUGCGAGAGUGACGGCUCGAGCAGGUGCGAAAGCAGGUCAUAGUGAUCCGGUGGUUCUGAAUGGAAGGGCCAUCGCUCAACGGAUAAAAGGUACUCCGGGGAUAACAGGCUGAUACCGCCCAAGAGUUCAUAUCGACGGCGGUGUUUGGCACCUCGAUGUCGGCUCAUCACAUCCUGGGGCUGAAGUAGGUCCCAAGGGUAUGGCUGUUCGCCAUUUAAAGUGGUACGCGAGCUGGGUUUAGAACGUCGUGAGACAGUUCGGUCCCUAUCUGCCGUGGGCGCUGGAGAAUUGAGGGGGGCUGCUCCUAGUACGAGAGGACCGGAGUGGACGCAUCACUGGUGUUCGGGUUGUCAUGCCAAUGGCACUGCCCGGUAGCUAAAUGCGGAAAAGAUAAGUGCUGAAAGCAUCUAAGCACGAAACUUGCCCCGAGAUGAGUUCUCCCUGAGACUUUAAGUCUCCUGAAGGAACGUUGAAGACGACGACGUUGAUAGGUCGGGUGUGUAAGCGCAGCGAUGCGUUGAGCUAACCGAUACUAAUGAACCGUGAGGCUUAACCUUACAACGCCGAAG